GUUUGUUUCCGCGCCUUCCAAGCCUUGUUAUUUUUUGCUGGCUUCCUGCUUCCCCUCUUCCUGCUUGUGUUUUCUGCCUCUGUUUAUUGACCUCACGAAGGUUGGAUUUCCAUUUUCUGAAGGACCAUUGUGUGGCCCAAGCACCUUCCUGAACCCUGCUUCAUACCUGCUUGGCUCUGCCUUCAUCGCGCUCAUGCCCACGCAUGCAUCUUGAGCCCAUCAUUGAUGCCAGCUCUCAGUACAGCUGAGCAUAUGCUGAGAUCUCGUUAAUGGCAAUUAAACUGGAGCGCGUGGUUAAGUACCUUGCAGAAGGUAGCUGCUUUGCUGUGUCACUUCUUAAAGAGCAUCCCUGCCAAAUUUCAGAAUUUUAAUCUCUUCACUAUUGACUCUGGGUGCUGUCGGCCCGCUUCCUCCUUUUGUUGCAAUCUCUCCAUCUAAAGCAUGAUUUCUCUAACAAUGAGCGCUCUCCUCGCGAUGGGCUGAAGAGGAGCUGAGCUGCUGGCACGCGGGAGCCCACGCCAUGCUUCAGAAUGAGGAAAUGAAACUGCUGUGAACGCAUCCGGGGAAGAGAAGCCCCCAAGUUGCCGUGUCUGUGGGAGCAUCCCAGGCUUCUCUGUGAUGUGGCCACUCCAGCCAUGAGUCAGCAUUCUGAGAAUCCUGCUGCAAGCCAGGAGCCCACAGCCUUCUCCUGCUCAGCACACCCAAGCAGGAUGCAGCACCCAGACAGGCGUCUGACACGUCCAGGAUGGGGACAUCGAUCGCUCCGACCUUUGCAAAGCCCUGUAUGGAAAAUGAACGGCACUGCAGAGCACAGAAAAUGGCCACAGGAAACAAAUGUGGCUCCCAAGCUCACGGUUCCACCAGCAUCCCAGGAGCAGUGCCAGGCCAGGGAUGGGGAGGUGCGUGAAGAGCACUGCCUGUAUGCAGGAGGAAGGCUCAGAGCAGGGUGCUCUGCUCUCAGGUCCUAACACUGCCCUGAGAAGGUGCACAGAUACAAAAAGCACCACCAUGGGGUGAACUUCUGCCCCGAGGGCUUCUCAGCCCAGCCAUACAACAUCAGUUCCUGGCAGAUGGGAAAAUUUCUUUUCCUUCUUUUUCCUUUUUGAUUUUUCCUACCAUGCUUCUUGCUUUCAGCCUUCCCCUUUCAUGUCCUUUUAUGGAUUACCGCACACAGAGCCUAUGCAGCCUAAUAACCCUCCACACACACACACACAUAAUCCAAGCAACCCAUUCCCCCCCACCUAAAAGCUGGGAGGGGAAGCAGCAUUCCUUUCUGCUGGGUGUCUGCAAGCGUGGAGCCCUCCCAGCCCCACGCAGCCCCAGCUGGCUCAGUCAGCUGUAGAAAUGUGCACUCAGAUGCAAGGACGAGCACAGAGCGCCUGGGGCUGCCUGAGGAUGGCUCAUGGGCCAAUGCAGGCUGUGGGGAGCUCUCCUCUCCAGGCUGCUUCUUUGCCCCUUGAGAUGGGGACCAAGGCAGCUGGGUGAUGUCUACGACCGUCCUUGCCAGAGAUGCCCAAAGCAACAACACAUCAAUUCCACUUCUAAUUUUGGGGUUGUUUUUGUGGCACCCUAUCCUCACAAUUUCCACAGGUCUGUUUGACCCCAUCGAGCCCAUCUCAUCCAGAGGCACAGGAAAGAUUUUGCAUGGGGCCACAACAAUUCUGUGCUCAAAAUCAGCUCAGUGAAAUCCAUGGCAUUUCCCUUCCAUUAAAAAAAAGACAACAACCCACAGUUAUCUUCCCCAGAAGAGACAGCGGGUUGAUCUCACUUGAUCUUUUUUGCCAAAGACACACUACGUUUUAUCCUGUUUCUUAUUUACCCCCAUGUACCUUUGUGUCCUCACUGUUACUGUAUCCGUUACGUAUGAUUUUAGGCCAGCACAGGUGCAACAAGGUUGAAUUUUUCUUCCUCCUUAGCAGUGGGACAUUUGUUCUUCAGCCAGGUGCCACUAAUUAGAUUACAGCAGAUUUAUUAUAACUACUUUCCUCUUCACCCAUGCACCUGUGACCCCAUUCUCCCUCUCACUGCUCCUGCGUCCUUGCACGGGCUGCACAGGGAAGCCUCAGACACGCUCAGGGCACCCAGUCCUCCAUAACUAACAUGGAAAUCAGGCUACCGGGUUCUCCUUCUCUGAGGUUUGUUGUGAUUUUCCUGCCUGCUGCCUUGGCUGUGUCUCCAGGCGAGACGCCGGUCCCUCUCUGCAUGGCACAUGCGAGAUUGUCACCGCAUUUCAAAGUCACCAUUGCGAGCCAGACUCUGAUUUGGAUGAGACUUUCUUCCUCGCUCCUGCAGGGAAAUUAAUUUCUCUUAAAUGUGCUGAUGUGCAGAUAAUUUGCCUGUGGACCCAGCAGAUUUGCAGUCAGCAGGCUGCCUCGGUCAGUGCCAGAGAGCAGCAUGUCACGCCAGACCAUGUCUAACAUCUUCUGAGUGAUGGGACUUUGGUCUUGGAAAGGCAUCCAGUGCCAUCAAUCCCUCCCAAGCUCCUCCAGGGAUAGGGUGUGGGAGGACUGGGAGCUGCCAGUAGACCCUGCCAGCCUCCCCUCCACCACCCCAUGUUGCUCUUGGUGUGCACAGCCCCACAGCAAAAAGCUUUUUGCUCUCCAACCUGACACAUCUCCCAUGAGAAACCUGCAAAGCCUGGCUCCUGCAGACCACAAGACGGGCCUGACCGUUGCAGCUUGGGGAGAUGGCUGUGCUGACCCCCAGCAGAAAGGGGUCCCUCUGGAGAUCGUCCACGUGGCUGCAAGUGACAGCUCUGCAGAUAUCCUCGCCCAAGCACACCAACACGGAUGGGUCCUCUGGAAGCAGCAGCUGACUCUCAGCCAGGAAGCCAGCUCAGCAAUGCCCUCAAUGCUACCGUUUUUGGACUCUGCAAAGUGCCUCAUUGUAUCUGUCUCUACAGAUUUCCACUUACCCAGAUGGUUUUUGUCUCUACCAUUCUAACAUCUGGUGGAUGCUGCUUCCAACAUCACUAGAAAUUGACUCUUCCAGGCAUAUUGGGGUUCCCAUGUUCACAAGGAUCUACUUCACCCAAAGAGAAACCCUCAAAGGCGCAGACCCAGCCAAGACCUCCACUUGGAAACAGCAACCUAAGAAAUCCAGAGAGAUAGAGAUGCUCAGCAAGUUAUUAUUCUGUGCAAGCACGAUGCCCUCCCAGGACAACACUACAGGACGGCAUUUGCUUGGAUAAAACAGUUUGCCAACACUUGCUAUUGAGGAAAUUUGUGGUCUGUGCAUUGGGGAAUGACUCAGUGGAGCCAGGAGCUGUCUGAAAGCCCCCACUGAGGAUUUGCUCUGAGUACAGCCUGCGGGGCUGGUGGGUGGGCAAACAAUGUGGCUCAGGAGC
Molecule: long non-coding RNA, 3346 nt
Organism: Gallus gallus (chicken)
Lineage: Eukaryota; Metazoa; Chordata; Aves; Galliformes; Phasianidae
Source: Ensembl